This 93-nucleotide small nucleolar RNA is filed under the name Triticum aestivum (bread wheat). RNAcentral's name for it is "snoRNA snosnR60_Z15". It matches the Rfam family "Small nucleolar RNA snR60/Z15/Z230/Z193/J17". Rfam says of the family: The members of this family belong to the C/D class of snoRNAs which contain the C (UGAUGA) and D (CUGA) box motifs. Most of the members of the box C/D family function in directing site-specific 2'-O-methylation of substrate RNAs. Lineage: Eukaryota; Viridiplantae; Streptophyta; Magnoliopsida; Poales; Poaceae. The record is from Rfam by way of RNAcentral.
CAAGGUCGAAUGAUGAUCACAAGUGCAUAGUUCAUAUGAGCAAUUGUGAUUUCUUGAACAAAAAUGGUCUUUCGCUCCUAUCGGAUGACUUUU